AUGCAUCUUACACUGCAUGGUCACAAGGUGGCCCUGUUAGGAGUAUAUGGUGUGAAUGAUGAUGCUCCCGCCAAUCUAAAGGAUCAGUUCUUUGAGCAACUCAACGACGAGGUUCUGAGGGUGAGAAGGACAAGAAAGAUCAUUAUCAUGAGAGAUUUGAAUGGUAAAACCGGACGAAAGAAUGGUUCUAAAGUCGUUGGACCUUUUGGUGAAGAGGCGGUGAAUGACAACGGUGCACGCAUCAUUGAUAUGUGUGAACAAAACGAGUUGAAAAUACUGAACGGAUUCUACCAACAUCGAGAUAUCCAUAAGUACACUUCGGUUCAGCAAACUCGGGGGCUGAAGUCAAUCAUCGACUACGCGGUCACCAGGCAAACGAGUACCAUGAAGGUUCAACAAGUGAGAGUUUGCCGGGGGUUCUCCUGUGGUAGUGAUUGCCAUUUUCUCAAGGCGGAGAUUGCAUUUCCGGUUAAGUAUGGGCUGCAGAGGAAUACCUUGCAACAUCAGAAGUGCCAGCCGAACGAAGAACAAAGAUCGAACAAGUGCCGGUGUAUUGCGCGGAUGUGCUGGAAGUGCUGAUUGAUGAAAACACGCUGUAGCAUUUGUUGCUUGGUUGCACCGCGAGUCCAAAAAGAAAUCGGUCACUGAUGUCCAAAGCUAUUGGCACAAAUCCAAGCUAUCAAGCAUUAAGCCCUCAACUUCAGAAGAUAUGAUCUUGGAGAAAAUGGUUAAGCAAAAGGUUGCUGCAGUUGUUGCCAAUGAUGCAGCCAAUUCACAAGAAGAAGCCUUCUAUAAAGAGCUUACCAAGGUGCUAUGCAAGGAUGAAUCUUGCUCAUCUGUGCUUAAGCAACAUGUGAGUGUGAUAUUUUCAUACUUUGUCAACGCCAUUUAUAAAGUUUGGCUGCAAUGUAAAUGCAGACGAUCUCUUACUUUUUUGUAGCAGCGUUAUGAAAGAUAAUGAGUGCAAAAAGUUGGCGAGACUAACUGCGAAACAAGCCGAUGACUCGUUAUGGUUUGAUUUAAGACUGGUGCAACCCUGCCUUUUUUCCAAGUUUUGCUGGUAUCUUGUUUGAAAUUAUGUGUAUAUUUUUUAAGGUAAUUUUUGUUUUUCAAGGGUUUUAACCUGAAUUUACUAGUUUGUUAGGUAUCUGAUCAAAUAAUUUAAUCGCUGACUAAAAAGUUCAAAGGUCAGUCGAGAAUACCAUUUACCUUUUACAGUUUCUUUAACCCUUUGUUCAUUUCCUUCCAAUGUACUUUCUGCGCAUGAUUAUCGAGCAUGCUACUAAAUAUGGCUUGGAACCUCCAAAUUUCUAUCAAUUAAUUAUAUAAUAGAAUAAUUGAUUAAUUAUUGCCUUUCUUUUAUUUGUACUUUCGAAACUGACUUUUUACAAGUGCAUCGUAGAUUAAUGUUUGCUAUGUCAUCAAAACGCGUUUGUUUUUGCAGCAUGUUGCAGUCUUGUAAAUAAAAUUAUGUGUGGGGUCAGAUUUAUAAUCAGCCCUCAGGAUUUGAGCCAGGAACAUAAAAAAAGGGAAGAAGAAAAUUGAAUAUGGCAUUUUUCCCCCAAAAUCACACAGAAUCCAAGGACUUUUUACAUAUCGACGGUGAAAGUACCAGACCACGCAUCUCGGUUUGCCACGUUGUAGACUUUCUGUCAUACUUUAUUUUUUAAUAGAAAACUACUCAAUGUCAAUUCUUGAAAACUGCCGUGUUUUUUCUUCUCUGUGCGAAGAAAACUCUGUGAAUAUUUCAAGAAAUGGUUUUGAUUUGUUCUCCUUCAAAAAAAUAAAAUGGGAGCGGAGAUUUUUAAACGCUGCAAACGAGAUAUGUGGUCUAGUAUAGUUUCAUCGUCAAUAUGUUUUUCCCCCAAAAAAAUUGUGGAGUAUCCUUUCAGAAUUCCUCAUUUCAAAUCGGCUUUUUGUAAAUCAAUAAUUACCUAAGUAUCUCUGUUCUGAGCUUACUUUUUUUAAGGUUGUGAAAAAGAAGUCAAAAAUUGUUAGAAGUAGAGAAAUUGAGUGUAACUAUAUUAGAUUUGAACAUUAUAUUGUAAAAAAUUGUACAUUCUAUCUUUUCACUACAUGAAAGUAAAUCUUUGUCCUUGGUUCAAUCAAAUAAAUACAUUGAUGACAGUUGAUCAGUAUUAGAAAAGUUGGAAAAUCAGCCUCUAAGGCCAAUCUUAAGGUCCUGAAUCCUAGUUUAGCCGUCAAAUGUAGGAGAAAAUAACAAUUGCUGAACUCCAAAACCACGCCCUUUUUUCUGUCUCACUCUCCUUUUUUUGAGAAACUAUUGAACCUAAUAUCUUGGAAAUUACUGUGGUUUUUCUUGUCUGUUGAAAGAAGAAAAAAUAAUAAAAUAUAUAUUUUAAAAAUAAAUAUUAAAAUGUUUUUUAUCAUACUCUUUAGUUCAUUCGGGAGCCUUUUAAAUAGUUUUUCCCCCUCUGUAUUCUAAUGUGGUAUUACUAGCAGUAUCCUCUUUUGUUAGGAUUAUUCUUGGCUCUAAAAAAGUGUAGUCUUGAUUAUGGAACAUUGAUUGUUGUUAAAAUGUUAAUGUAAUUGAUUCAAUAAUUUUUUCCCCAUUCAAUUUGAAUUUUCAGACUCGUAGUAUCUAUUACAAAUCCCACCAGGAUCUUUUGUGCAGAAUUUAAUGGUUAAGAAAGUCAGAUUAAAGGAAAUGUUGGUUUAGCUAAUUAUCUUGACUUUCCCAUGCAUUUUUUUUUUUAGAUUUAGAUUUUCUUCUUUAGUCGAAUUCGUUACGGUUCCACUUUUCUCCAAACAUGUCAAAAUUUAGAUCGACUUUAGGGUGGUAUCCAUUACGGAAUAUUUUUUGCCACAAUUAGUCACAAACAUUGCCAUUAUGUUGCCCAGAAACGUAUCCAUAUAAUUGGCAACGUUGCCUUGCCAAGUGAGAGGGAGGGUAGUCGUAAAUUUGGUCCUGGUUGAAAUUGCCUCAAUAAUUCAAGCAACGUUAUCAAAGCGUUUUCGUGUAAUAUUUAUAAAAAAGUGCCAGGAUAAUAUAUCCGAAAUGUUACUCAGCAAUAACAUGGUAACAUUAUUGUGAAACAUUGCAGAAACAUUGCCAGGAUACGUUGCGGCCCGUGAGACAAAAUUCUGUUUGCCACAACCUUGUCAACACUUUGCCAGGAAACUGUUGGAGGAUGUCUAAAUCAAGACGACACUAAAUGAAGUUUAAGACAUGUUUUAUUCCGACAUAAAAUAUGGAUGAAACUGAUUGACAAAAGAUACACACGCAUGGCGCACAGAGAGAGAACAAGAUAGAGAGGUCAACAUAGAGUAACUAGAGGGACGCACAGACAAUACAGAUUGUGCAGUAGGAUUAUCACUACCUUCCAACACACCCCCUUAAUCCGGAUGCACAUGAUGUGGGAUAUAUAAAUGAUGAAAGAGAAAAGUAAGGAAAAUGAUCAAAUUGAGAAAUUUGAAGAAACACCUGGAAGAGGUUUAUAGCAGUUCUUUUGACUGCAGCAUGUUUUCAACACAGAAGAUAUGCUUACUUUUGUUAAGGGUUUUAGUUAAAACAUCUGCUAUCAUGAGAUCGGUUGGUAAAUACUCAAGUUUAAUGAUAUUUUAUUGAUAGCUUCACGAAUAAAGUGGUGACGGACAUCAAUAUGUUUAGUUCUAUGAUGAACAGUUGUAUGUGAUGCUAAUUCUUGAGCACUUUGAUUGUCAUUCAAUACUGAAAUACAAAUGCUGUUUUUAAUUUUAAGUACUUCGUGAUGUAAGUUAAAUAAAAAAACUGCUUCUUUUGAAGCUUCUGCCAUACUCAUGUAUUCCGCUUCAGUGGAUGAUAGAGCAACCGUCGACUGUUUUUGCUGCACCAUGAAAUUGGAGCAUUGCCAAACUUAAAUAGAUAUCCAGUGUAGGAUUUACGAUCAAUGGGGCAAUUAGCAUAAUUAGCAUCGGCAUAGGCGAUGAUAGGCAUACCUGUUUUCUUAUAGACAAGGCUGAGAUCUGAAGUCCCUUUUAAAUAACGUAAUAUUCGUUUUGCACCUUGCCAGUGAAUUGGCUGAGGACAACUGUUGAAUUGACUGAGAAGGCUUACACUAUGAGCUAUAUCGGGGCGAGAACCUACAACUAGGUACAUGAGUGCUCCAAUUAGGUUCUGAUAGGGUAUAUUAGUCAUGUCGACCAUUUCUGUUUGUGAUUCAUUUUGUCUUGCUGUUGAGGUUUUUUCCCGUCAUUGUUAAUGGACAUUAAAGGCGUAGGUACUGAUUUACAAUCUGACAUGUUAAAUUUUUCAAGAAGUCUAAGAAUAUAGGUUUUCUGAUUGACAAUGAUUUCUUUGGAAUUUUGUCUUGUUUUACAUUCAUUCCUAAGAACAAUUUUACUGGACCUAGAUCUUUGACAUUAAAAUUGUUUGCAAUUUCUUUUUUGAAGUGAUUAAAAGUUUGAUCAGAUUUAUUAAGGACAAGGAAGUCAUCAACAUAGACACCAAUAAUAAUGGUUGACGAUUCAUUGAUUUGAAGUAAACGCAAGGUUGGUGAGCAGAUUUUAGGAAUCCUAACUUUGUUAAAGUGUCAUCAACCUUGACAUAGA
This 4551-nucleotide long non-coding RNA is filed under the name Bemisia tabaci. RNAcentral describes it as "lncRNA ENSSSA2NGG000481". The record is from RNAcentral. Lineage: Eukaryota; Metazoa; Arthropoda; Insecta; Hemiptera; Aleyrodidae.